GAUGAACGCUGGCGGCAGGCCUAACACAUGCAGGUCGAGCGGAUGAAAGGAGCUUGCUCCUUGAUUCAGCGGCGGACGGGUGAGUAAUGCCUAGGAAUCUGCCUGGUAGUGGGGGAUAACGCUUCGAAAGGAGCGCUAAUACCGCAUACGUCCUACGGGAGAAAGUGGGGGAUCUUCGGACCUCACGCUAUCAGAUGAGCCUAGGUCGGAUUAGCUAGUAGGUGAGGUAAUGGCUCACCUAGGCGACGAUCCGUAACUGGUCUGAGAGGAUGAUCAGUCACACUGGAACUGAGACACGGUCCAGACUCCUACGGGAGGCAGCAGUGGGGAAUAUUGGACAAUGGGGGAAACCCUGAUCCAGCCAUGCCGCGUGUGUGAAGAAGGUCUUCGGAUUGUAAAGCACUUUAAGUUGGGAGGAAGGGCUGUAGGUUAAUACCUUGCAGUUUUGACGUUACCAACAGAAUAAGCACCGGCUAACUUCGUGCCAGCCGCCGCAGUAA
RNAcentral lists this ribosomal RNA (500 nucleotides) under uncultured bacterium. RNAcentral describes it as "partial 16S ribosomal RNA". It matches the Rfam family "Bacterial small subunit ribosomal RNA", at positions 28 to 523 of the family's 1533-position model. The record is from RNAcentral.